UAGGGAAUAUUGCACAAUGGGCGCAAGCCUGAUGCAGCAACGCCGCGUGAGGGACGACGGCCUUCGGGUUGUAAACCUCUUUUAGUAGGGAAGAAGCGAAAGUGACGGUACCUGCAGAAAAAGCACCGGCUAACUACGUGCCAGCAGCCGCGGUAAUACGUAGGGUGCAAGCGUUGUCCGGAAUUAUUGGGCGUAAAGAGCUCGUAGGCGGUUUGUCGCGUCUGCUGUGAAACCCCGAGGCUCAACCUCGGGCCUGCAGUGGGUACGGGCAGACUAGAGUGCGGUAGGGGAGAUUGGAAUUCUUGGUGUAGCGGUGGAAUGCGCAGAUAUCAGGAGGAACACCGAUGGCGAAGGCAGAUCUCUGGGCCGUAACUGACGCUGAGGAGCGAAAGCAUGGGGAGCAAACA
RNAcentral lists this ribosomal RNA (407 nucleotides) under uncultured bacterium. RNAcentral describes it as "bacterial SSU rRNA". It matches the Rfam family "Bacterial small subunit ribosomal RNA", at positions 355 to 774 of the family's 1533-position model. The record is from RNAcentral.